Molecule: ribosomal RNA, 512 nt
Filed under: Anommatoxenus sp. JP-2017
Lineage: Eukaryota; Metazoa; Arthropoda; Insecta; Coleoptera; Staphylinidae
Description: partial 16S ribosomal RNA
Rfam family: Bacterial large subunit ribosomal RNA (bases 386-512)
Source: RNAcentral
GGCUUUUAGAAUUUAAUUUAAAAUUGACCUGCCCACUGAGUAUAUUAAAUGGCCGCAGUAUUUUGACUGUGCAAAGGUAGCAUAAUCAUUAGUUUYUUAAUUAGAAGCUGGAAUGAACGGUUGAACGAGAAAAUAACUGUCUCUUUAUAAAUUUUUUAGAAUUUUAUUUUUAAGUCAAAAAGCUUAAAUUUAUUUAAAAGACGAGAAGACCCUAUAGAGUUUUAUUAAUUUAUUAUAAAUUAAAUAAUUUGUAUUAUUAAUUGAUUUAUAGUGUAUUAAUUUAGUUGGGGUGAUUGAAAAAUUUAAUAAACUUUUUUUUUAUGAAAACAUUGAUUUAUGAUUAAUUGAUCCAUUAAUAGUGAUUAUAAGAUUAAAUUACCUUAGGGAUAACAGCGUUAUUCUUUUGAAGAGUUCAAAUCGAUAAAAGAGUUUGCGACCUCGAUGUUGGAUUAAAAUUUAUAUUUGGUGUAGAAGCUAAAUUAUUAGGUCUGUUCCACCUUUAAAAUUUUACA